GAAUGGGGAAACCCAGUGUGACUCGUCACACUAUCAUUAACUGAAUCCAUAGGUUAAUGAGGCGAACCGGGGGAACUGAAACAUCUAAGUACCCCGAGGAAAAGAAAUCAACCGAGAUUCCCCCAGUAGCGGCGAGCGAACGGGGAGGAGCCCAGAGCCUGAAUCAGCAUGUGUGUUAGUGGAAGCGUCUGGAAAGGCGCGCGAUACAGGGUGACAGCCCCGUACACAAAAGCGCAUGUGCUGUGAGCUCGAUGAGUAGGGCGGGACACGUGGUAUCCUGUCUGAAUAUGGGGGGACCAUCCUCCAAGGCUAAAUACUCCUGACUGACCGAUAGUGAACCAGUACCGUGAGGGAAAGGCGAAAAGAACCCCGGCGAGGGGAGUGAAAAAGAACCUGAAACCGUGUACGUACAAGCAGUGGGAGCACCCUUUUGGGUGUGACUGCGUACCUUUUGUAUAAUGGGUCAGCGACUUAUAUUCUGUAGCAAGGUUAACCGAAUAGGGGAGCCGAGGGAAACCGAGUCUUAAUUGGGCGUUAAGUUGCAGGGUAUAGACCCGAAACCCGGUGAUCUAGCCAUGGGCAGGUUGAAGGUUGGGUAACACUAACUGGAGGACCGAACCGACUAAUGUUGAAAAAUUAGCGGAUGACCUGUGGCUGGGGGUGAAAGGCCAAUCAAACCGGGAGAUAGCUGGUUCUCCCCGAAAGCUAUUUAGGUAGCGCCUCGUGAAUUCAUCUCCGGGGGUAGAGCACUGUUUCGGCUAGGGGGCCAUCCCGGCUUACCAACCCGAUGCAAACUGCGAAUACCGGAGAAUGUUAUCACGGGAGACACACGGCGGGUGCUAACGUCCGUCGUGAAGAGGGAAACAACCCAGACCGCCAGCUAAGGUCCCAAAGUCAUGGUUAAGUGGGAAACGAUGUGGGAAGGCCCAGACAGCCAGGAUGUUGGCUUAGAAGCAGCCAUCAUUUAAAGAAAGCGUAAUAGCUCACUGGUCGAGUCGGCCUGCGCGGAAGAUGUAACGGGGCUAAACCAUGCACCGAAGCUGCGGCAGCGACACUAUGUGUUGUUGGGUAGGGGAGCGUUCUGUAAGCCUGUGAAGGUGUGCUGUGAGGCAUGCUGGAGGUAUCAGAAGUGCGAAUGCUGACAUAAGUAACGAUAAAGCGGGUGAAAAGCCCGCUCGCCGGAAGACCAAGGGUUCCUGUCCAACGUUAAUCGGGGCAGGGUGAGUCGACCCCUAAGGCGAGGCCGAAAGGCGUAGUCGAUGGGAAACGGGUUAAUAUUCCCGUACUUGGUGUUACUGCGAAGGGGGGACGGAGAAGGCUAUGUUGGCCGGGCGACGGUUGUCCCGGUUUAAGCGUGUAGGUGUGUGUUCCAGGUAAAUCCGGUUCACUUUAACACUGAGGCGUGAUGACGAGGCACUACGGUGCUGAAGCAACAAAUGCCCUGCUUCCAGGAAAAGCCUCUAAGCAUCAGGUAACAUCAAAUCGUACCCCAAACCGACACAGGUGGUCAGGUAGAGAAUACCAAGGCGCUUGAGAGAACUCGGGUGAAGGAACUAGGCAAAAUGGUGCCGUAACUUCGGGAGAAGGCACGCUGACACGUAGGUGAAGUGAUUUACUCAUGGAGCUGAAGUCAGUCGAAGAUACCAGCUGGCUGCAACUGUUUAUUAAAAACACAGCACUGUGCAAACACGAAAGUGGACGUAUACGGUGUGACGCCUGCCCGGUGCCGGAAGGUUAAUUGAUGGGGUCAGCGCAAGCGAAGCUCCUGAUCGAAGCCCCGGUAAACGGCGGCCGUAACUAUAACGGUCCUAAGGUAGCGAAAUUCCUUGUCGGGUAAGUUCCGACCUGCACGAAUGGCGUAAUGAUGGCCAGGCUGUCUCCACCCGAGACUCAGUGAAAUUGAACUCGCUGUGAAGAUGCAGUGUACCCGCGGCAAGACGGAAAGACCCCGUGAACCUUUACUAUAGCUUGACACUGAACAUUGAGCCUUGAUGUGUAGGAUAGGUGGGAGGCUUUGAAGUGUGGACGCCAGUCUGCAUGGAGCCGACCUUGAAAUACCACCCUUUAAUGUUUGAUGUUCUAACGUGGACCCGUGAUCCGGGUUGCGGACAGUGUCUGGUGGGUAGUUUGACUGGGGCGGUCUCCUCCUAAAGAGUAACGGAGGAGCACGAAGGUUGGCUAAUCCUGGUCGGACAUCAGGAGGUUAGUGCAAUGGCAUAAGCCAGCUUGACUGCGAGCGUGACGGCGCGAGCAGGUGCGAAAGCAGGUCAUAGUGAUCCGGUGGUUCUGAAUGGAAGGGCCAUCGCUCAACGGAUAAAAGGUACUCCGGGGAUAACAGGCUGAUACCGCCCAAGAGUUCAUAUCGACGGCGGUGUUUGGCACCUCGAUGUCGGCUCAUCACAUCCUGGGGCUGAAGUAGGUCCCAAGGGUAUGGCUGUUCGCCAUUUAAAGUGGUACGCGAGCUGGGUUUAGAACGUCGUGAGACAGUUCGGUCCCUAUCUGCCGUGGGCGCUGGAGAACUGAGGGGGGCUGCUCCUAGUACGAGAGGACCGGAGUGGACGCAUCACUGGUGUUCGGGUUGUCAUGCCAAUGGCACUGCCCGGUAGCUAAAUGCGGAAGAGAUAAGUGCUGAAAGCAUCUAAGCACGAAACUUGCCCCGAGAUGAGUUCUCCCUGAGACUUUAAGUCUCCUGAAGGAACGUUGAAGACGACGACGUUGAUAGGCCGGGUGUGUAAGCGCAGCGAUGCGUUGAGCUAACCGGUACUAAUGAACCGUGAGGCUUAACCUUACAACGCCGAAG
RNAcentral lists this ribosomal RNA (2800 nucleotides) under Salmonella enterica subsp. enterica serovar Cerro str. CFSAN001690. RNAcentral describes it as "bacterial LSU rRNA". It matches the Rfam family "Bacterial large subunit ribosomal RNA". The record is from RNAcentral. Lineage: Bacteria; Pseudomonadati; Pseudomonadota; Gammaproteobacteria; Enterobacterales; Enterobacteriaceae.